RNAcentral lists this unclassified non-coding RNA (154 nucleotides) under soil metagenome. RNAcentral's name for it is "partial internal transcribed spacer 1". The record is from RNAcentral.
CAGAGUUAUCCAACUCCCAAACCCAUGUGAACUUAUCUCUUUGUUGCCUCGGCGCAAGCUACCCGGGACCCAGCGCCCCGGGCGGCCCGCCGGCGGACAAACCAAAACUCUUGUUAUCUUAGUUGAUUAUCUGAGUGUCUUAUUUAAUAAGUCA